GACGCGUCCAAACGAUUUCCAAUUUGUUUUUGUGAGUUUUUCUUAGAUUUUCGUGUAGUUUCUUGUUGAAUUUGUGCAAAUUUGUGUUUUAGCAAGUGUUAAGCUUAAUUUACAUGAAAGUUUUAUAAAUUUGUUAGAUUGUCACUGGAAAACGAAAGUGUAAACAGGACGCCAAGAUAUUUCACCAGGUGCGGAAGAGGAGAACAGGAAGGCUUAGUUAACAAUAAAUUGGAGCUAAAUUCCAUCUAUUAGUCUUCAGCCCAGGUGAACGUACAUCUACAUAUUUAUGAGUGAAGAAACCGUCUUAAGGGGAGCGUCUAAGCUUAAAAACGGAGAGGCGCGCGUCGAAUAAUUGAAGAGUGGAGCUUUCAACGGUUGCACACAAAAAGAAAGCACGCACACCAAGACGCUCGGGCUUCAUAUUUAUCACUUCACAGCUGCACACCUAUGAUCGAUGCAUAUCCAAGAUGGCCGCCAGCGCACUACGCCGACACGCGGGAAAUAUGGGCACGCGCAUCUUCACAAACAAGAAUUGUUUAUAUCUAAUCAUCAAAUUUAGGACACUGGAAUCUCACAAUUGCACUGCUAAACGAACGUGCUCACCCGUACACGAUAUUCGCCUAACUAAAUGCUAAAAAACUUAAAUGCAUUCAAAACUUGAAAGCCAUAAAACAUAUCUCCCCCAUUAUUAGUUUAUGGUUUGCGACUGUUACGGGGCUAUUAUGUUCUUAUUUUUCUGUGUGUACGGUGUUUGUUUUGAUUGUAUGAGGUGGACGGACGAGCCAAUUUAGGGUACCAUUACAAAAUGCUAUUGAGUGGGCCAUAGCUGUUUUACUAUUGUUCAAGGUCAUUUCAGUUAUGACUUCACUAAAAAGCAUUAUGUUUGCUUUGUCUUAGACCAAGUUUUUUUUCAUACUCACAAAUAGGUAGGUAUGUCUUCUUACGCUAAUGCUAUUUUAAGCCAAUUUAUAUUGAUAUUUAUUUACCAUAAAUCGUGAACAUUUUAGUAUUAACGAAAGCUUCAUUCUGUUAUUGUUUUAUUGAGUAUUUAUAAAUUCUUUACGUAACAUAUAUGUGACUAACAUAACCUUUUAAUAUAAUAAAUCAUAAUCCCAUUCCAUUUUAAAUGAAAGGCCAUAAAAAUAGAAUUUAUUGUACGCUUCAACAAUACAUCUGAGCUGGAAUUCCCUUGAAGUUUGUAAUGCAAGGCAUAUACGUGAAGUGGAGCAACCUUCAAGUCGAUCUCUCAUGAGUCACGGAUGCACGCAGCAUUCUAUAGUGAUAUAUUACGAUGGCUUAGCAUUGCGUUCUAAACUGUUGUUUUGGAAAACAAAUCAAUAUUUUAUGUUGCUUUUCCUGAUAUAUGACCUG
This is a long non-coding RNA of Zerene cesonia (dogface butterfly), 1371 nucleotides long. RefSeq lists it as uncharacterized. The transcript is spliced from 3 exons. Lineage: Eukaryota; Metazoa; Arthropoda; Insecta; Lepidoptera; Pieridae. The record is from RefSeq and is a predicted model, not a curated record.